GACCAAGUAUGCUAGUAGAAUCAGAGGAGGAUUAGCUCAGAGAAAUUAACUUCGAAGUGCUUUUCUUGGUAGGCCAUCUUUUCGACAUAAGAUGUAGGAGGAAUGUGUGGGGAAUCUAAUUGGCUAAAUAGAGUUGAACAUUGAAUGUGACUUUAAAGUCGAAUUCUAUUGGGUUGAGUAUCACAAAGGUCGGUUACAAUGAUUUCGAUAUAAGUAGACUAAGGAAAAAGAAAAAUACUUUGCAAUGGUGUACUGCCAAUUGUCUCAUUUUGUCUAGAUUGAUAUGCAUGUAAAGUUCUUAUUCAAUCUUGGAAUGUUAAAUUGACUUUAUUCGAGCUUUUCCUCGAAGUAUGUUGCAAGAGGAGUAACAUAUCCUCUACCCUUCUUAAAAAGCAAAAAUAUCUUGUCUUGAAUUAAUC
Molecule: long non-coding RNA, 419 nt
Filed under: Olea europaea subsp. europaea
Lineage: Eukaryota; Viridiplantae; Streptophyta; Magnoliopsida; Lamiales; Oleaceae
Source: RNAcentral